Molecule: transfer RNA, 71 nt
Filed under: Emericellopsis fuci
Lineage: Eukaryota; Fungi; Ascomycota; Sordariomycetes; Hypocreales; Bionectriaceae
Also listed under: 2 other names
Description: Acremonium fuci tRNA-Thr
Rfam family: tRNA
About the family: Transfer RNA (tRNA) molecules are approximately 80 nucleotides in length. Their secondary structure includes four short double-helical elements and three loops (D, anti-codon, and T loops). Further hydrogen bonds mediate the characteristic L-shaped molecular structure. tRNAs have two regions of fundamental functional importance: the anti-codon, which is responsible for specific mRNA codon recognition, and the 3' end, to which the tRNAs corresponding amino acid is attached (by aminoacyl-tRNA synthetases). tRNAs cope with the degeneracy of the genetic code in two manners: having more than one tRNA (with a specific anti-codon) for a particular amino acid; and 'wobble' base-pairing, i.e. permitting non-standard base-pairing at the 3rd anti-codon position.
Source: RNAcentral
GCCUGGUUAGCAUAAUAGUAAUGCAAUUGUUUUGUAAUCAAUUGAUAUAAGUGCAAUUCUUUUACCGGGCU